RNAcentral lists this long non-coding RNA (1401 nucleotides) under Equus caballus (horse). Its description in RNAcentral is "lncRNA (ENSECAG00000056996.1)". Lineage: Eukaryota; Metazoa; Chordata; Mammalia; Perissodactyla; Equidae. The record is from RNAcentral.
CAAUACCAGACACACAUACACACACACUGGUAGAUUGUAUAUUACAUUCUGGUAUUUUGGGUUCUCACUAAUCAGGGGACUAAAAUAGUUUUCGGAAAUUAAGUGAGACUGCUGUGAAAUGUGAUUUAAAAGAGGCUGAUAGAAACUAAGUAGAUAUUAAAGCAUGCUGUCAUAACCGGAUUAGUUAUAUUUUUCCAUCAUUUUGCUAAAAUAAAAAUAGAGAAAAGGAGGGAGGAGAGAGGGAAGGAAAUAAAUACCAAACAGUGUGGAUCUCACCCUGAACUUACAGCUCAAGAUUAGCACUGCAGGAGGCUAAGGUUUUGCUGAAGAAACCCUUAGCAGAAAGCUUUGGAUUCUCUUGCCUGACACUGGCAUUGAAAGGGAAAAUACAUAUGGAUAAACUGAUAGAUUGAUAGUUUUAUUUCAUACAGAAAGCAGAUCUCCAGAAAUAGAUUCUAACUCAAAGGAAUAGAAAAGCGUUUUGUUUUGAUUUUGUUGUUGCUGUCAGCAGCCAUCUCAAAUCCAAUCUCUGGACAAUAGAGAUUGUUAUAAAAUGUUUUAGGUUAUAAAGAAAGGAUUCAGCAUACUUAUCUGAGAGAAUCUAUCAUAUAGAAAUCCUUGGAAAAGUUAAUUUAUAACAUAGCAAGUCACAGUUUCUACUUUAGUCAAAAAUGAACAUGGAAUACUUGGUAAAUGCAGCAUGAAUUACUUGAGAACUCAAUACAAAUAACUUGUUACCCAUGUCAGCAGUUGGUGACAUAACCUAAGUGUCAUGACUGUGAAUGUCCUUUUAAAAAGGCACCCAUGUCUUAAUGACAUCUUAUGUGACAGUUCAGCCAAAGAAAGACAUAUUUUGUCACAUUAAAAAAAAAUCCUCACAGAGUGCCCUCUCCACAUCAGGAAUGAGGGAGUAACUUGACCCACCUAAUCCAUAGGAUCGCUUUACAACUGCAGUACAAUUUUCAAGGAACAAUAAAGCUUUCAAAAGUGUUUUUAUUAUCAUGUAUGCACCUUCCAUUUUGCAGCAGUGCAAGGAUAUCUGAGUAUGAGACAUGUCAAAGAAAAACUGCACUGGAGAGACUUAAACAGACAAGGAACACUUCUUUCAACAUUACUGUGAUGGGGAAAGAGCUUGAACUCAACUCCACUGAACCAAAAGGCAGGAAGAUUUCUAAGCACUGGAGUGAGCUGGUGCAAAAGUCCUGGGGAACAUUAAGUCGGAAGUUGGUCAAUGUGAUUAGGCAUCUGUGUUUGCUAAUUGUCAUGUAUCACAGUUAGGCUCCUCCCCUCCCACAGAGACCGGGAGAUGGGGGGCGCUAUCUCCUUCAACGAUUCCAUUUCAAUGGGACGGCUCCCAGGUCCUUGAGAGAGACAUUCUUAGGAUAUAAAACUGGCAAAGAA